GACGAACGCUGGCGGCGUGCUUAACACAUGCAAGUCGAACGAAGAGCGAUGGAAGCUUGCUUCUAUCAAUCUUAGUGGCGAACGGGUGAGUAACGCGUAAUCAACCUGCCCUUCAGAGGGGGACAACAGUUGGAAACGACUGCUAAUACCGCAUACGAUCUAAUCUCGGCAUCGAGGAUAGAUGAAAGGUGGCCUCUACAUGUAAGCUAUCACUGAAGGAGGGGAUUGCGUCUGAUUAGCUAGUUGGAGGGGUAACGGCCCACCAAGGCGAUGAUCAGUAGCCGGUCUGAGAGGAUGAACGGCCACAUUGGGACUGAGACACGGCCCAGACUCCUACGGGAGGCAGCAGUGGGGAAUCUUCCGCAAUGGACGAAAGUCUGACGGAGCAACGCCGCGUGAGUGAUGACGGCCUGCGGGUCGUAAAGCUCUGUUAAUCGGGACGAAAGGCCUUCUUGCGAAUAGUAGAAGGAU
This 471-nucleotide ribosomal RNA is filed under the name Veillonella parvula. RNAcentral's name for it is "bacterial SSU rRNA". It matches the Rfam family "Bacterial small subunit ribosomal RNA", at positions 28 to 469 of the family's 1533-position model. The record is from RNAcentral. Lineage: Bacteria; Bacillati; Bacillota; Negativicutes; Veillonellales; Veillonellaceae.